CAGUCGCCGCGGUAAUACGAAGGGGGCUAGCGUUGCUCGGAAUGACUGGCGUAAAGGGCGCGUAGGCGGCGAUCAAAGUCAGGCGUGAAAUUCCUGGGCUCAACCUGGGGGCUGCGCUUGAUACUUGGUUGCUUGAGUGGGGAAGAGGGUCGUGGAAUUCCCAGUGUAGAGGUGAAAUUCGUAGAUAUUGGGAAGGACACCAGUGGCGGAGGCGGCUCACUGGACCGACACUGACGCUGAGGCGCGAAAGCGUGGGGAGCAAACAGGAUUAGAUACCCCUGUAGUCCCUGUCUCUUAUACA
This 301-nucleotide ribosomal RNA is filed under the name uncultured bacterium. RNAcentral's name for it is "partial 16S ribosomal RNA". It matches the Rfam family "Bacterial small subunit ribosomal RNA", at positions 509 to 808 of the family's 1533-position model. The record is from RNAcentral.